This 74-nucleotide transfer RNA is filed under the name Natronorubrum thiooxidans. RNAcentral's name for it is "tRNA_Thr_TGT". It matches the Rfam family "tRNA". From Rfam's summary of the family: Transfer RNA (tRNA) molecules are approximately 80 nucleotides in length. Their secondary structure includes four short double-helical elements and three loops (D, anti-codon, and T loops). The record is from RNAcentral. Lineage: Archaea; Methanobacteriati; Methanobacteriota; Halobacteria; Halobacteriales; Natrialbaceae.
GCCAGGGGAGCAUGGGUGGUUCAUGCACUCGACUUGUAAUCGAGACUCCCGGGGUUCAAAUCCCUGCCCUGGCU